RNAcentral lists this microRNA precursor (101 nucleotides) under Caenorhabditis brenneri. Its description in RNAcentral is "pre miRNA CBN34075". The stretch from base 23 to 85 matches the Rfam family "mir-35_2 microRNA precursor family". Lineage: Eukaryota; Metazoa; Nematoda; Chromadorea; Rhabditida; Rhabditidae. The record is from RNAcentral.
UUUUUUCCUGAGAUGAGAGCCGAGCUGAUUUUUCCUUGUUUAUGAGUCCAAAAAUAAUGCUCAUGAACAGGAGUAAAUCAGCUCUGGUCUCUAUUGGAAAU